RNAcentral lists this long non-coding RNA (813 nucleotides) under Homo sapiens (human). Its description in RNAcentral is "non-protein coding lnc-CPSF7-1:1". The record is from RNAcentral. Lineage: Eukaryota; Metazoa; Chordata; Mammalia; Primates; Hominidae.
UCUUGGGACCCUGGAAUGAGUUCUAUGUGGGCUUCCUAACAGGCACAUCCAACUCUCAGAGGCAGCCUCCCACUUGGAUACAAAGGACAGCCAGUGAUGGGACGGCCCAGAAAGCAUAAGAGCUCAUCUCUGCUGCUCAGGCCACAAAUAGCUGCAGAUGGACUGAAGGAUAAAUGAGAGACCCCAACUAUCCCAUCGGAAUCUUUUCCCAGUGAUGUUUAAAAAUAUGAACCAGGUCUGUAUUGGUGCCACCCUGGCUGGAGCAGAAGACAUACCAGAUGACCUCCAGAUAACACUCAAAGCCAGUAAGAGUGCUUCUACAAUGACCCCCAAAAGACACACUCUGUCUAAGGCACAGAAAGCUCCAGCACAAGGUGUUUGGCUUAUGGAUUUUUAAGACUUAGGAUGAUUAAAAGGAAACGAUGGAAAGAGAACAGCCUUUCCUGACCCAAUUUAAGGUGUCACGUGGAGAGCCUGUGCAGGACUCACAAGACCACUUGAGUCGGUCAGGACAGGGCCAGACGCUCAUAUGCCCCACACAGGCUCUGAAUGAGGUCAGUAAGCAGGGAUGUGUCAAAGUAAAAGGAAUGAGUCUAGCUUCUGUGCAUUAGCGAUCCUUCGGGGGCUGCUGGCCCUUGCUAUAUGUUUAUUAAUUCCUAAAAAAAUGCACUGUGGCCGGCCUAGUUUUACUUAAUGCCUAAUAAAGGGAAAAACUGUUUACAUAGCAUCCCUGGGCCUGACAACUGAGCAGGUGAACUUAGCAAGAUCCUUCACUUUCAAAGAUGACACAAUCCAGCAGCCUGGGAGGAAAAC